AGUAGUUCGACUCCGUGCGUACAGGACACGCUGGCGGCGUGCCUAACACAUGCAAGUCGAGCGAUGAAGUUCCUUCGGGAACGGAUUAGCGGCGGACGGGUGAGUAACACGUGGGUAACCUGCCUUAUAGAGGGGAAUAGCCUUCCGAAAGGAAGAUUAAUACCGCAUAAAGUUGUUGAUUCGCAUGAAUCGAUAACCAAAGGAGCAAUCCGCUAUAAGAUGGACCCGCGGCGCAUUAGCUAGUUGGUGAGGUAAUGGCUCACCAAGGCGACGAUGCGUAGCCGACCUGAGAGGGUGAUCGGCCACAUUGGGACUGAGACACGGCCCAGACUCCUACGGGAGGUAGCAGUGGGGAAUAUUGCACAAUGGGGGAAACCCUGAUGCAGCAACGCCGCGUGAGUGAUGAAGGCCUUCGGGUUGUAAAGCUCUGUCUUUGGGGACGAUAAUGACGGUACCCAAGGAGGAAGCCACGGCUAACUACGUG
Molecule: ribosomal RNA, 484 nt
Filed under: uncultured Clostridiaceae bacterium
Lineage: Bacteria; Bacillati; Bacillota; Clostridia; Eubacteriales; Clostridiaceae
Description: bacterial SSU rRNA
Rfam family: Bacterial small subunit ribosomal RNA
Source: RNAcentral